This 690-nucleotide ribosomal RNA is filed under the name uncultured Candidatus Tremblayella sp. RNAcentral describes it as "bacterial SSU rRNA". It matches the Rfam family "Bacterial small subunit ribosomal RNA", at positions 674 to 1359 of the family's 1533-position model. The record is from RNAcentral. Lineage: Bacteria; Pseudomonadati; Pseudomonadota; Betaproteobacteria.
AGUAGCGGUGAAAUGCGUAGAUAUCUGGAGGAAUACCAAAGGCGAAGGCAGUCCCCUGGUCCGAUACUGACACUGAGGUACGAAAGCGUGGGGAGCAAACAGGAUUAGAUACCCUGGUAGUCCACGCCCUAAACGAUGUCGAUUAGCCAUUGGAAGGACCCCUUUUCCUUUCAGUGACGUAGCUAACGCGUUAAAUCGACCGCCUGGGAAGUACGACCGCAAGGUUAAAACUCACAGGAAUUGACGGGGACCUGAACAAGCGGUGAAUGAUGUGGAUUAAUUCGAUGCUACGCGAAGAACCUUACCUACCUUUGACAUGGCCAAAGUUCUACCGAGAGGCGGAAGUACUCGUAAGAGGAUUGGCGCACAGGUGCUGCAUGGUUGUCGUCGGUUCGUGUCGUGAGAUGUUGGGUUCAGUCCCGCAACGAACGCAACCCUUAUCUUUAAUUGCUCCUAUUUUAACAGGCACUUUAAAGAAACUGCCAAUGAUAAGUUGGAGGAAGGUGGGGAUCACGUCAAGUCCGCAUGGCCUUUAUAGGUAGGGCUUCACACGUCAUACAAUGGUUAGAACAAAGAGCUGCAAAUUCGUAAGAAGGAGCCAAUCUCACAAACCUAACCUCAGUUCGAAUUGCGGUCUGCAACUCGAGCGCAUGAAGCCGGAAUCGCUAGUAAUCGUGGAUCAGAAUGCCA